RNAcentral lists this ribosomal RNA (138 nucleotides) under uncultured eukaryote. RNAcentral's name for it is "partial 18S ribosomal RNA". It matches the Rfam family "Eukaryotic small subunit ribosomal RNA", at positions 1299 to 1458 of the family's 1831-position model. The record is from RNAcentral.
UGGUGGAGUGAUUUGUCUGGUUAAUUCCGAUAACGAACGAGACCUUAACCUGCUUAAUAGCCAGGCCGGCUUUUGCUGGUCGCCGGCUUCUUAGAGGGACUGUCAGUGUCUAACUGACGGAAGUUUGAGGCAAUAACA